AUUGAACGCUGGCGGCAGGCCUAACACAUGCAAGUCGAGCGGAUGAAGGGAGCUUGCUCCUGGAUUCAGCGGCGGACGGGUGAGUAAUGCCUAGGAAUCUGCCUGGUAGUGGGGGAUAACGUCCGGAAACGGGCGCUAAUACCGCAUACGUCCUGAGGGAGCAAGUGGGGGAUCUUCGGACCUCACGCUCUCAGAUGAGCCUAGGUCGGAUUAGCUAGUUGGUGGGGUAAAGGCCUACCAAGGCGACGAUCGGUAACUGGUCUGAGAGGCUGAUCAGUCACACUGGAACUGGGACGCGGUCCAUGCUCCUACGGGACGCAGCAGUGUCGAAUGUUGGACAGUGGGCGAAAGCCUGAUCCAGCCAGGCCGCGUGUGUGACGAAGGUCUUCGGAUUGUAAAGCACUUUAAGUUGGGAGGAAGGGCAGUAAGUUAAUACCUUGCUGUUUUGACGUUACCAACAGAAUAAGCACCGGCUAACUUCGUG
Molecule: ribosomal RNA, 484 nt
Filed under: uncultured bacterium
Lineage: Bacteria
Description: partial 16S ribosomal RNA
Rfam family: Bacterial small subunit ribosomal RNA
Source: RNAcentral